RNAcentral lists this ribosomal RNA (253 nucleotides) under uncultured bacterium. RNAcentral describes it as "partial 16S ribosomal RNA". It matches the Rfam family "Bacterial small subunit ribosomal RNA", at positions 524 to 776 of the family's 1533-position model. The record is from RNAcentral.
UACGUAGGGGGCUAGCGUUGUCCGGAAUCAUUGGGCGUAAAGCGCGUGUAGGCGGUCCGGUAAGUCCGCUGUGAAAGUCGGGGGCUCAACCCUCGGAUGCCGGUGGAUACUGUCGGGCUUGAGUACGGAAGAGGCGAGUGGAAUUCCUGGUGUAGCGGUGAAAUGCGCAGGUAUCAGGAGGAACACCAAUGGCGAAGGCAGCUUGCUGGGACGGUACUGACGCUGAGGCGCGAAAGCGUGGGGAGCAAACAGG